This 400-nucleotide ribosomal RNA is filed under the name phytoplankton environmental sample. Its description in RNAcentral is "partial small subunit ribosomal RNA". It matches the Rfam family "Eukaryotic small subunit ribosomal RNA", at positions 587 to 984 of the family's 1831-position model. The record is from RNAcentral.
AGCUCUAAUAGCGUAUAUUAAAGUUGUUGCAGUUAAAAAGCUCGUAGUUGGAUUUUUGAGUAUGAUUUCGACUGUCCCGGGACAUUGUCUCGCGCGAUGGUUGGUCGGCUCUUCCUUCCAGUGCCUGGGCGUGGGCCCUUAAUUGGGUGUUGCGUUCGGUCUGGGACUUUUACUUUGAGCAAAAUAGGGUGUUCAAAGCAGGCGUUUGCCUUGAAUACAUUAGCAUGGAAUAUCAAUAUAGGACUAUGGUUCUAUUUUGUUGGUUUCUAGGACCAGAGUAAUGAUUAAUAGGGAUAGUUGGGGGCAUUCAUAUUUCAAAGUCAGAGGUGAAAUUCUAAGAUUCUUGAAAGAUGAACUUAUGCGAAAGCGUUUGCCAAGGAUGUUUUCAUUAAUCAAGAAC